UGACAGACUGGAUUAAGAAAAUGUGGCACAUAGACGGAGGAGUUCCAGGGGCCAGGCGGUCGCCGCGAGUCUGGUAUCCUGAGCUUCGUGAGUUGAGCACUGCUGCUCCGCAGUGGAGUCACCGCAUCGCUCCCAUGAUCAUGGUGUUCUACUUCACCAGGAGCAGCGUUAAUUCAUCUGCCUACACUAUUUACAUGGGAAAAGAUAAAUAUGAAAAUGAAGAUCUGAUCAAGCAUGGCUGGCCUGAAGAUAUCUGGUUUCAUGUGGACAAACUCUCUUCAGCUCAUGUAUACCUUCGAUUACAUAAGGGAGAGAAUAUAGAAGACAUUCCAAAGGAAGUGCUGAUGGACUGUGCCCACCUUGUGAAGGCCAAUAGCAUUGAAGGCUGCAAGAUGAACAACGUUAAUGUGGUAUAUACUCUGUGAUCUAACCUGAAGAAAACAGCUGACAUGGAUGUGGGGCAGAUAGGCUUUCACAGGCAAAAGGAUGUAAAAAUUGUGACAGUGGAGAAGAAAGUAAAUGAGAUCGUGAGCCGAUUAGAAAAGACCAAAGUGGAGCGGUUCCCAGACCUAGCAGCAGAGAAAGAAUGCAGAGAUCGUGAAAAGAGGAAUGAGAAAAAAACCCAAAUUCAGGAAAUGAAAAGGAGAGAAAAAGAAGAAAUGAAGAAGAAAAGGGAAAUGGAUGAACUUAGGAGCUAUUCAUCACUAAUGAAAGUUGAAAAUAUGUCUUCAAAUCAGGAUGGCAAUGAUUCAGAUGCAUCAUGUAAAAGGAGGAAAGGACCUUUGAAAGAUGUGAAUGUAGAGACAAUUGCAGACCCUUUGGUUUCAUCCGUGUUCUGAAGUAUAAAAUACAAC
This is a non-coding RNA of Macaca mulatta (Rhesus monkey), 854 nucleotides long. The record is from RefSeq and is a predicted model, not a curated record. NCBI's taxonomy places the organism in Eukaryota, Metazoa, Chordata, Mammalia, Primates, Cercopithecidae.